GAAAUGCGAUACUUGGUGUGAAUUGCAGAAUCCCGUGAACCAUCGAGUCUUUGAACGCAAGUUGCGCCCGAAGCCAUUAGGCCGAGGGCACGCCUGCCUGGGUGUCACACAUCGUUUCCCCAACGCAAACAUGUAACAAUGUUGCUGCGCGGGGUGUAUGCUGACGUCAUAACC
This 174-nucleotide unclassified non-coding RNA is filed under the name uncultured fungus. Its description in RNAcentral is "sequence contains ITS1". The stretch from base 1 to 107 matches the Rfam family "5.8S ribosomal RNA", at positions 50 to 154 of the family's 154-position model. From Rfam's summary of the family: 5.8S ribosomal RNA (5.8S rRNA) is a component of the large subunit of the eukaryotic ribosome. It is transcribed by RNA polymerase I as part of the 45S precursor that also contains 18S and 28S rRNA. Lineage: Eukaryota; Fungi. The record is from RNAcentral.